This 496-nucleotide ribosomal RNA is filed under the name uncultured bacterium. Its description in RNAcentral is "partial 16S ribosomal RNA". It matches the Rfam family "Bacterial small subunit ribosomal RNA", at positions 29 to 507 of the family's 1533-position model. The record is from RNAcentral.
AUGAACGCUGGCGGCGUGCCUCAUACCUGCCAGUCGAGCGAACAGACGAGGAGCUUGCUCCUCUGACGUUAGCGGCGGACGGGUGAGUAACACGUGGAUAACCUACCUAUAAGACUGGGAUAACUUCGGGAAACCGGAGCUAAUACCGGAUAAUAUAUUGAACCGCAUGGUUCAAUAGUGAAAGACGGUUUUGCUGUCACUUAUAGAUGGAUCCGCGCCCCAUUAGCUAGUUGGUAAGGUAACGGCUUACCAAGGCAACGAUGCGUAGCCGACCUGAGAGGGUGAUCGGCCACACUGGAACUGAGACACGGUCCAGACUCCUACGGGAGGCAGCAGUAGGGAAUCUUCCGCAAUGGGCGAAAGCCUGACGGAGCAACGCCGCGUGAGUGAUGAAGGUCUUCGGAUCGUAAAACUCUGUUAUUAGGGAAGAACAAAUGUGUAAGUAACUAUGCACGUCUUGACGGUACCUAAUCAGAAAGCCACGGCUAACUACGUG